AUUGAACGCUGGCGGCAGGCCUAACACAUGCAAGUCGAACGGUAGCACAGAGAGCUUGCUCUCGGGUGACGAGUGGCGGACGGGUGAGUAAUGUCUGGGAAACUGCCCGAUGGAGGGGGAUAACUACUGGAAACGGGUAGCUAAUACCGCAUAACGUCGCAAGACCAAAGAGGGGGACCUUCGGGCCGUCCUUGCCCGACUCGGGUAUGUUGCCCGACGGGUUGGGGAUUUAGCUUGUUAGGUG
RNAcentral lists this ribosomal RNA (244 nucleotides) under uncultured bacterium. RNAcentral's name for it is "partial 16S ribosomal RNA". It matches the Rfam family "Bacterial small subunit ribosomal RNA", at positions 30 to 263 of the family's 1533-position model. The record is from RNAcentral.